AGCCAUGAGCUUUGGAAAAAUGCAUUGAA
This 29-nucleotide non-coding RNA is filed under the name Homo sapiens (human). The record is from RNAcentral. Lineage: Eukaryota; Metazoa; Chordata; Mammalia; Primates; Hominidae.